Molecule: long non-coding RNA, 324 nt
Organism: Ornithorhynchus anatinus (platypus)
Lineage: Eukaryota; Metazoa; Chordata; Mammalia; Monotremata; Ornithorhynchidae
Exons: 2
Source: RefSeq, a predicted model, not a curated record
GUAAUCCAAUUUCAGAACUCCACCUUUCCCCAACCUUUGGUUGUUGGUUUUUUUUUCCUUUUAGCCCUCGCGAUUUAUCCUACUGAAUUCAAACUCUUUUACUCCAUUUCUACACAGACGAGGGCCAGUGAGUAUCAUCAACCAGACAGAUGCUUCUCAAGGUGAAUAUGAAACGCCUGGAACGAGGAAUGGAAAAGGAAGAAAAUAACAGUUUUGACAACAAAGUCAAUUCUUGGCAAUUUCCCCAUGAGGCAUAUUGUUCCAGGGAAUUUGUUGUUAAGGCAUUAAAGAAACUUCCCAGAUUAAAUUUAUUUUCAAAUAUCA